CUCAGCCGACCCGGCUUUGUCUGCUCCUUAACUGGAGAUCGAAACCCGCCGGGCUGCGGGGUCUCUCCCGCGCCGCGAGGGGUGCGGGUGGCGAGUCCUACCCUGGAUGCGCUCCCAGGAGAGGUCACCAGAGCGGUGGGGAAGUGGGCACAGAGCUCUCCCAAGUGACCGGGACACAGAGCGAUUGGCUGUCCUUGUUUAAAGAAGAAAAUUGAAGGAAAAUGGUCAACUCAAUGAAGAGGAAGGUGAAGGAGGAGGAGAGAAGGUGAUGAAGGAGCUGAUUACACCAAGUAACAAACCCAAGAAACAGAAAACAGCCUUGUGCUUGCUUCUGGGGUGGGUGGAGAAGUGGCCCAGCUUCCCUCACCACCACGCCACCCUCUUGACUCCCUUGUUGUAUGUCUUGAGACACUGAGAUCCCCAGCCAGCAAGCAAGUAUAUUCCCUAUACAAAGGCAAGAAAGCAGAUCUAAGUAUGGGAUGGAGAACUGGGUCCCUAUCUUCUUUUUUGAAGGUAUAACAUACCUGCAAUAAACUGCACCCAUUUUAAGUUUAAAAUGUGAUACCUUUUGACAACUGUGCAAAACAUUUCCAUCACUCCAAAAAGUUCCCCUGUGCCUUUUGCAGUCCGUCACCUCCCCCUCCCCAGCCACUG
Molecule: long non-coding RNA, 654 nt
Organism: Balaenoptera ricei (Rice's whale)
Lineage: Eukaryota; Metazoa; Chordata; Mammalia; Artiodactyla; Balaenopteridae
Exons: 3
Source: RefSeq, a predicted model, not a curated record